This 303-nucleotide small RNA is filed under the name Vigna angularis var. angularis. RNAcentral describes it as "Non-protein coding transcript". The record is from RNAcentral. Lineage: Eukaryota; Viridiplantae; Streptophyta; Magnoliopsida; Fabales; Fabaceae.
UAGAAGGGUCUCCAACAACAUUUAAAUCACAUUCUGUAUAUGGCAUCUAGUGGUCCUAAUCCACCUCCUCCACUCUAGGCACAAUCUAAUAAGGAGAAGGGAAAAAGCAACGUGGUGAAGUUGUUAUCACGGUGAUGGAGUGCAACGACAAUGUCAAUCCAAGAUGAACAAAAUCCUUAGUGAUUAUUAGGAAAUUAUAGACUUGUCAUUCUAUGUUGUUUGACAUUUUAUGAAUUGUAGAAUUUAUAUUGUUUGACAUCUUAGGAACUGCACAAUCUAUUUAUGAAUAUUAGACAUUUUGUA